This 120-nucleotide ribosomal RNA is filed under the name uncultured bacterium. Its description in RNAcentral is "partial 16S ribosomal RNA". It matches the Rfam family "Bacterial small subunit ribosomal RNA", at positions 30 to 147 of the family's 1533-position model. The record is from RNAcentral.
AUUGAACGCUGGCGGCAUGCUUUACACAUGCAAGUCGAGCGGCAGCGCGGGGGCAACCCUGGCGGCGAGCGGCGAACGGGUGAGUAACACAUCGGAACGUAUCCCGUAGUGGGGGAUAAC